UUCCUGCACUGGCGUGACCCCCGGCCGGCGCACCGAGGGCCCGGCGGCGGGGCAGUCUCGGGGGGAGCGCCGCCGCGGAGAGAGCACCGCCGAGCCGGCGGGGGCAGGGGGGCAAGGGAAGCGGAGGGGCCCGGGAACCAGCCCUGCGCCCAGGCUCGGCCCCGCCCGAAGGCCCUUUCCGGCCGCUCGGUGGCGGGGGCCUCCGGCGCGCCGAUUACGGACGUGAAUGGGAAGCGGCAGCUAGUGAAUGAUCGCGUUGCUCGCGCUGCCUUUGGAGGCUGAGGAGCAGGUGCUGCGCUGCAAAACACAAAGUGCUUCAUUUAAAAGCCCUCUGUCACGUACGCACCCUCACGACGUUCAGGAAUCCUCUGGCCCCCUCCCGUCACUACCCUGCGAUGGAGUAGCUGAGGCUGGGAGAGAAGCCGGGAUAUGUCCCUGGGCACAUGGUGAGUCGGUGGGAGCUGAGAUACAGCCCCGUCUCCUGACAGCCUCGCCAUUGGCUAUACCAGGUUGGAACCUGAAGAAGGUUUCACUUUGGUGACAUUAAUUUCUAGGCAUGGAUCCUUUGCACGUGAGCACCCCCCUCUUUUCCUGGAUCAGCUCCACCCCCAUCCCACCGCCCACCCCCAGCCCCACCCCACUCUCACACAGAAAACUUGCUAUGCCAACCGAUUCUCACUGGUGAUAGGCUUAAUAGCUGCAGGCCUGGAAAUUAUGCCCAUUUUCCUGUCUGCUAUGUGUAAGUCCAUCUGAUAUGUCCUCCGUCAGCACAAUCCUGUUAUUAGGAACUCCAGAGAAAGCAAAACCUAGACUUUUCUUCCACCUCAGUAUCUCACAUCACCCAGCACUCACAGUUGGCCAGAUGCUCUAAUGAACAUCAGUCACAACCUAAUCCAGGCCAGAAAAGCAGAGUAAGAAGUCUCGUACCCAUUUUACAAAGUCCCUGUAGAAGUGGCAUAUUUGAAGGGGAAGUGACUAGCUCACAUCCAUCUGCUGGUGCGUGGCCAAGUUGAGAGCCAAACCCAGGACUCGCAACCCCACCCUGGGCUGUGUCCACACCGGGGUGGGUGGUGGGUGGGAGGGGGCAAGGAUCCACUUAGUCAUGGAGAGGGGUGGCUCUAAGUGACCUGGGUAUCUCCAGCCCUGCCGCUCUUUUUCUUUCCCCACAGACCUUGGGCCAUUGUGCCCAUGCCCCCACCCCCAUACUAGUUCACAAUAUGAAACUGGAUAUGAACAGCUGCUGCCUUAGGAGCCAGACGCGUCCAGGCCCUCUCACCACUACUGACUCCAAAUAUCAAGGCCAGUCCCACUCACGUCCUGGACCUAUCCAGAUCCCCUCAACCUUUGCUGCCACUCUGGACUUAACUCUCUCUGUUUCCCCUGUCCCCUCAAGGUCUCCCCCAGGGCAGACGGAAAAAGCAGCAGCAUCAAAUACCAUGCUGAAAAAAUGGAGAGGGAAUAGAUGUGAAGAAUAUUUUAUUUUGCUUCUUGGAAGCAAGGAGUUUGUCGGAGUCUUUACAAGUCCCCACCCAUGCUACCCAACAUACACAAUGUCCAACCCAGUGAGCACAGCAAACAUACCUAAAUGUUAAAGAAUCAUAAAACUCUCACAUGACUGAGGAAAUUUGUAUAUACCUAGGCUGGCCAUUGUGACAUCUAACAACACUGAUGAGCGGUUCAGAACACAGGCUUCACAUGUGCAAGACCAGGCUCUGUCCUGAUUAGUCAUACAAUAAUGACAAGCUGGUUCAUCUUGAGGUCUGUUUUCUCAUCUGUAAAAUGAGUAUGUUUAUACCUUACAGAAGCAGUACUGAACAAUACCAGCGGCCCUGAGCCAGGAAGGGAGGGGAACACUCAUAUGGGAAUGGUUCUCUCCACAUUUACCACCUAGUUUGGAAUCCAGAUUCAGCUAUGGGACUCGGGAGCAAAAGUACCUGAGGAACCCCCAGCAACUGGAGGUCUCAGUGGAGAAGAGAGGGCAGCCUCCCUCCUGCAAGUCACACACCACCUCGCUGCCCCAUGCCAGCCUCUCCUGAUGUCCGAGGUGCUGACUCUGAUGUCCAGGACAUUAUCGUUUUCUUCCGCGUCCUUGGUGCCUAUUACAUUGCCAGGCGCAACAGUUGUUCAAGAUCUGCUGAAUUCAUGUAUGUGUAAAGGAAUAGAUGAAUACAUGAGACAGUGGACUUUGGAACUGAAGACACAUUGAGUACAAGUCUUAAUUGAAAUAACCUGCUCCUUCCUGCCAAGAAUUUGGUCUCUGUCUUCUCCUGGUAGACCACUAAUAUUUACUUCCAUGGAAAGUUUGGUGAGAACAAAAACAGUGUGGAGUCUGAAUGACAAAAGAUUAAAUAAUAGCAUAAGGCCCGAGGCCACUGAGAGAGACUGCUUCAUAAAUGCCACACAGAUGCACCCCCCCCCUCUCCACACACACAUACUUUAGGCCUGACAACAUUACCAACUGGAUAAAAAAACCAGCCACCUGGAAUGAUGGUGUAUCAGUUCCAGCCCACCUGGAGUCAUACUAACGACAAUUUCAAUUUAGUUCUGGGACUUCACCCAAAAGACCAUAGAUUCAAAUUCAGAUACCCAAAAGAGGACCUUUGAUUUCAAUCCAAAGGUAUAUUAGGCACCAACAUGUGCAAAGCAAGCCCUGUGUCAGGCACCAGGGCAUAAGACAGUCAGAUCAGCCUUUGCUUUCAAGUAGUUUACAAUAUUAUGAAAGACAAGAUAGUACCAUGCAAAAAAAUAAAUAAAGGCUGAGUAUAUUAGUUUCCUCCUGCAGCUUCAACGAAUUACCAUAAACUUAGUGGCUUAAAAUGUCACAAAACUAAUAUCAUGGGUCUACCAGCUGCACUCCUUCUGGGCACUCUGGGAGGGAACCUCUUUCCUGACCUUUUCCAUCUCCUAGAGGCCACCUGCCUUCCUCGGCUCCUUGUCCUUCUCGAAAGCCAGCAAGUUAACAGCUUCUCUCCUCCUGGCCCCCUAACUCCCUUUUAUAAGGACGCUUGUGAUUACACUGGGUCCACCUGGAUAAUCCAGCAUAGUUUUCCCACUUCAAGAUUCUUAAUCACAUCUGCAAAGUUCCUCUUACCAGGUAACAUAGUCACAGGUUCUGGGGAUUAGGACACGGGCCUCACUGAGGCCAUUUUUCGGUUGACCACGCGAGGGAACAGCGAGAAGCUCUGGGAGUACAGAAGGAACCGUGGUGACCUCCAGCAGAGGCUUGGGCAUUGCAGAGGCAGCAUUCAGACUGAUUCUGAAGGAGAGAGAGGAUUUUGUAGGACAGGAAGACAGAGGAAAUGGUCACAAAUAAUCUGGUGUGAUUGGAAUAUAAGACACAUGGGAGGAAGCCCUGGGAGAAGAGGCUGAUGCUAUCAUGCAGGCCGAACUGAGGAAGACUGUAAAUGCCACGUGAAACCAUUCAUGUUCUUUAUGCAGAGAAAAACGUGAAAAUUUUUUUAGAAGUAGUUUUUCUGAAAGAUCACUCUAGCAACUGCAUGAAGGAUGUACAAGAGAGGGCAAGCAUGAAGCUAUGGCAGUAGCCAACCCAAUAGAUGACGACCAAAACCAUUGGAAAUGGUGCUGGAAAAGGGGCAGAUGUAGAGGCACUGAAGUAACUUCACCAGGAUUUGAUAACUAAUUACAUAUAGAAGGUGGAAAACCUGGAAGAGACAGAGAUAUAAAUGCAAUCACUUGAAUUGAUUCCCCUGUAUCGACUGUUAAUUAGAUGAACCAUUACCCAAAAUAUCUACAGGAAAAGGAGCAGUUUUGGGGAAAGAAGGAGAUGAGUUCAGUUUAGGACAGGCUGUUGAGUCUAAGGUGCCUGUGGAGUUUCCGGGUAGAAAUGAGAGCAGGUGGAAUUUCAGAACUGGACCGUAUUUGGGAGAUCAGGAUCCUUUGCGUCUGGCUGCCGCUCAUUUGUCUGAUAUAUGAGUCACAGCUAACAUCAGUUUUUUCAAGUGAGUUGCUGAGAAUUCUCAUCACAUGGCAGAAAUUCCAGUCCUGAAUAUUGAAGGAAGUAUGACGAGAAUAAAUGCAGUACACCCCCAGGCUGGUGAUUCUCAGACAUGCCAUUUCCACAUGCUGUGACUGUGGAUGCUGUCUUCAAGGAAAUGAGAACUGUGUCCCCGUCUACCUGUGGGCAAAGCCAGCCUGCUGGGGCUCAUGCCUGUGAGCAUAGGCAGGAAGAGUAAGAAGACAGCCAGCCCUCUAAGAGGUUGAUUGACUCCCCUCCAUAUGCACAUGUCCUGCCUCAGUGACUUAUUACCUCUCCUUCCACUUGGGCUGCUCUUUUCAACUUCCCAUCAAGGUUCAGCUCAAAUACCCCCUCCUCUGGGAAGCCUUCCAUAGUUCACUUUCAAGGAAAUAGCACUCUCUCUUUACCAUGUGUUGUUAUUUUAUGAUUCUCUGCCUUUGUAUCUACUGCUUUUUGUUGUAAUCAUUUGUGCAUUUAAGGCUCUCUUCUUCAGCAAACUCAGAAUUUCUGAGAGUGCAGACACUGCCUGACCUAUUUUUGUGAGCAUGCUAACACCUUACAUAAUGCCUAGCACACUCCAUAAAUGCAGGAUGAAUGUAAAAAAUGGUUGGUUGUGCACUCCGACCAUUAAUGCCCUCUUGAGUGAUAGACUUUGAGUAAGCUUCUUGUGGGCAGGGAUUAAUUUUACCUAACUCCCAAAGUAACUCCCAUGGAUACCUUUUAAGUGACAGGAACAUAGGCAGUCCUUGGUGAACUGAGCAGUGUUGAUGGCUUGUGGCUCACAGCAGAGAGGCUUCAGAUAAUGAGGCCUGGAAUAUGCUUCUGUUGAUCCAAGAUGCCACGGGAGCAUAAGGACAGCUCGGCCUUGACCAGGCGGUGGGAGAGGUAUGGCAUCUAAGAUCCUGGAGAGGAGAGGAUCUGAGCCAGAAGCAGGUAGAUUUUGAUUAACUGGGCAGAUAUGGAUUCAGAAUUCCAGAGGAAAUCCAGCGCAGGUCUCUGAGUACAGCAAAGGAAGUCUAGUCCUGGGUGCUUAGCCUAGGUCGGUUUCUGAUUAGCUCUGUGACCUUGUACAGAUUUUGCCUUGACUACCUCUGUCUCUUCAUUCACAUUGCUACUCAAGUAUCACCUUUUUACAGCGUCUUCACUGACCGUCCAAGCUUCACCCCCACCACGAACACCUUAUUUUUGCUUUGCGGUAGCACCCGAAGAACACCUGAAAUUAGUCCUGCAUUUGUUUAGUGCUCACUUCUGGUUUCCCUCCUGGAGUGCAAGCAGAUUCAGGGAGGGAACUCUGCCUGUCUGGCUCAUGUCAGUAGCCCCAUAUUUUGUGUUGGCCAUAGUCUAGGUACUCAGUAUUUGUUGAGUGACUAUCUAUAAGAGAGAGAAAGGUUGUGGAGUGCGAAGAGAUGAUUUCUAAGAAAAUUCUGUCUGUCCUAACUGUAUAAUUGCACAUUUCAUUCUGUAUACUUCUAAUACCCUUGGAAAUUCUGGAAUGAAAUAUAAAUUUAAGUCCCCAUCAUUAUUAUAAUGGCUUCUUCUUUGAUAUAUAGUUGGUGGCCUAAUGUGUUCUCAAUUCUCUUGAAAAUUAGUAUCAGUAACAUCCCUUGUUUUUGUUGAGAACUGUUACAUAAAAUGCAGUUUCCCACUUCAUCCCACAACCACCUAUGGGAAAAUAUUGUUAUCUUAUUUUACACCUGAGAGAAUUCAAAGCUCUCAGAAGGGUAAAAUGAUGUGCCCAGGGUCACAGAGCUUGGCUGUGGCAAAGGCUGCAGGUCUCUUGAUCCCAGACCUGUGCUUUCCCAAAGACUUCACUGCAUCUUAGCCCCCAAAACGGUGAAGCUCCGAACUGUAUGAGACAUAGUGUUUAUACGAUAAGGUCUCCAGGCUACAGUGCUGGCAUAAGCAGGCCGCUCCAUUUAAUUCUUCUGCCUGCCAAUGCAAGAUAAUUCCGCUGUGCCAAAACCCUGGCCUGUGAGGCCCAGGGACUCUGGUCACAAAGGGAGAGGGCAGCACAGUAGAAAGUGAAAGCAUAGCUUCAUAUCACCUACUUUCUGCUUUUUUCAGAGACGGAGAAAUAGAGGCUCACAAAAGGAAGAAACUUCCAGUUCUCCUGAAUCUAGAUCUUUAAAUCAUUGAAUCCUAACUGCUCAGUGUCUCAUGAAGACCCAGGGGCAAUUAAAACUGGAUUUUCUGCUUUAGAAAGAGAUGUGAACAGCCUCAAAACCUUCUAUCAACUGGAUCCACAAACCAGCCCGAGGACUGCUGAGGGACAGCAGGCACCACUGACACCUGAAUCAUCUUCCCCAGCACAAGCCCGCUACCACGUCGAUGAAGGGACACCGAUGAGGACUGGGGCUGGGGAGUGGGAUGUGGGGUCUACACCCCUUAGUCCAGGCUCAGCAGUCAGAUAUGUCAGUACCUGGGCUGAGGUAGGGCAGAAACGUAGAUGUUCACACAGCAAAGCCGAAUACCAUCGUCUUUGUAACAAAGGCACUUUUGCUGUAUUGAGAGCAUCCGAGGUAGAACUGCUUAAUGCCUGUCAGAGUUUCCUUUAUAACAUUCUAUCUGUUUGCAUCUCUCACUGAAUGCAGCCCACUGUGCUUCUCAUGGAAGGCCCUAUGCUGCAUCUUUUUAUCUUAUAGCACAUCCUGCAGACUAACUCAAUGGUUUUGAUGCCAUGAAUUUUAUCCAAAGAAUAGUUGGUGAAAAAUCAUAGGCCAGUGGAAAGGAGGGUUAAUGGAACAAAGCCUGACUUAGCCCCUCAGAGCACAGUCCUAGUGGGGAUAUGGAGGCUCUCUACUAUUUUCUCUACUCCUUAAUUUUUUUCAUUUAGUAGGAUUGGGGCUAGGAUCUGGGGCUACCUAGAUAAGACCCAGGUGUUGGCCUUAAGGUGCAUACAUGUUCCCACUGCACUAGAUACAUGGAAAGAGGAAUCAUCUAGCAUCUAGCAUGAUACAUGCUGUGCAGUGCUGGCCACUGGGUUGUCUGGGGACAAAUACUUAGGAUCCAGGUAUCAGAAGAGCACACGUCAAUGCCAGAAAGAUCUACAAUAGAGAAAUACCAAAACAGGAAGUUGGAUAUCAUCUGGACAAACCAGAGCCAGGUAAUGGAGUGUGGAAGCAGAUGGCUAAGUAGGACCAGACAUUAGUCAAGAUAACCAAAUGGUACGCAUUUGGGUGGAAACAGAACCAUACCAGGAGAAAAGAGAGAGGGCAUGAAAGGAUCAGGGCAUCUACAGCACAGGCAGCCCCUGGGAAAGCUGGACUGACACAGCCAGUAAGCACAAGGUGCAGCUCAGACCUGCCGGCCUGACAGACUUGGCAGGCACUGUGCUGCUGGGGAUUUGAGAUCCCAUUUUACAAUGUCCUGAUUUGGGGGGGACCACUAAGUAACUGGAUCAAGGUCUUAUCAAUAAAGAUUUAGGGCUAUAAAUAGGGUCCCAGAUGCCACAGAUGCUCCCCGUUCUCUGCGGACUCCCAGCUCUGCAGAAGACCAGGCACAGAGCGCUCCACUCAGAGCUACGGAUGUGGUGGGGAAGUGGAAACCAAGCCGACAUUUGGUGUGUUGUAGCAUUCCCAGCUCUGGUUUAACACAAGCGAUGUGUCUCACUCACAAGCUGGCACUGAGAUCUCAUUUACAUUUAAAUAAGAGGCUUGUUAGUGCCAGCAGGAGGGCGCUGUCAAUGCCAAGCCUGGCUCAGGAUUCCUGCCAAGGAGUUUCUAAGAGCAUCGCUCUAGGAAACUCCCCCAGAAGAGAAGCAAGCAUGCCUUCUCAUUAAGACAACUCCACCACAGUGGCAUUUGCCUCGGAGCAGUAAGCCUUUGGCUGGGGCUGGAAGCAAGUUGUCGAGUCUUAGAAAGUCAUUUGGUGCCAAGACAGUCAUUUAGUUCAGUUUGGUUCAAAACACACUCAGAGACCACCUGGCACAUGUAAGGAGGCCUGGUCAAGAGGGCGGCAGGCUCAUUCCUGACCUCUGGCCCCUCCAUCAUGUAGGAAGGACAUGCAGAAGACCAUCUCACAACAUAAAGAAAGGGAGGGCCUACUCUAUUGUUGGGCAACUCUUAAUAUUGGUAAGUUCUUCAGGCAUUAACAGGAAACGUGUGUGUCUGCUGUGAGGAUGGUGUGCUAGCGACAGAUGACAAGCAGAGAACAUUGAGGAAUAGGUGGGCUGUUUAUGAAACCUCAGCAGUGAUUGGCAUUCUGAUAACCUGGAGUGUGCCCGUCCAGUCUAAAGGAGAAUGCACGACCCAGCAAAGAAGUGAUCCUGGAUGUUAUAAACAUGGGUCUUGUCCUAUGUAGCUUCAAAGCUGAUGGGAUAGUCAGAUAACUAGCCAAGAAUUGCAACAUGGUUCAUAGGCUCUAUCACAGGGAAGUAGAAGUUGCUGUAGAAACACAUGGAGUGAUGGGGUACGUAACAGAAUUUAACAAAAGUUUUGAUGUUUAAGUUCAACAUGAAGGAUGAGCACAAGUGACAUAGGCAAGGAUGAGAGGGGAGAAAGGCAAGAACAGGAGCAAAGGCUCUGAGACAAGAUAGAGAGCAAAGUACAUUUGAAACUUUAAAGAAAUUUUCUAUGAUGGAAACUUAAUGUCCAGGGUAGGGAAAGGAUAGAGAGGAAAGUGGGAACUACAUUAUAAAUAUUUUCAGUCCAAACCACUGAAAGGGUUUAGAUUUUAAUGUAAGAGAAUUGAGCUUAAGUGGAGGAGUAAAAGAAUCAGGCUGAGUCUUCUAAAGUUUAAAUACCUCCAGUUCUGAUAAAAGAGGCAGCAUGGUAGACAGAGAGGAGCUCAGGACUUGAAGUCAGAAGGCGGUGGGCCCUGGUCACAGCUCCACCACUGUGUCAUUUAUCUCACCUGCCCUCAUCCUCAGCCUCUUUCCAUCUAGUCUCUUCUUUGUUAAAUGGGAAGAGCAUAUACCAGUGUUAGUAAAAUAAUGGGAGAAAAAGAACUGUCAUACUCUGUUGGUGGUAUGGUAAAAUAGUAAAUUCUUAUUAAAACCUAAUCAGGACUACUUGGCAAUAAAUGCCAGAAACCUUAAGAAUGUGAAUUCUUUCGGACCUACAAUUCCAUUUCUAAUAUUUAGCUUAAAGAAAAAAUUAAGUAUUUUCUGCCAACAUUUAACCACAGUGGUAUUCAAGGUAGUAUUGCUUAUAAGAGCCCCCAAAAAGUAUAAUUUAAGUCUCUGAUGAUGGAUAUUCCAUAAGCCUUUUAUCCUGUUGAGGUCAUUUUGGCCAUAACAGUUAAACCAGAUUGGCUCAGACACUCAUCCUGUAUGCAGGGAAGACCCUAUAACCCCAAUCCUAAUACAUCUGGUGAUUCUUAUUCUCCUCAUUGCCUCUGCCUCCAAAAUCUGUUGAAUUCUCCAUCUCCACUCUAUAUUUUGACCUUCCCCAGCUGUCCUUUUUCUGCAAUGCACCACUCUGCAUGGUACAGUCUACCCCAAAUACCCUUCCCUCCUCCACGUUUCUUGGCCACAGAUAGCAUGUGGUGAGAUUUUAUUAAGGGCUUGACAGUGAAGGGGCUGACAUCCAGCAGGAAACUACCUUUCUCAGCACAGUCCCUGCCCCUGUCUUCAGCGUCUUUCCAUCUAGUCUCUCCUUUGUUUUCCAGGGCCCCUCAUUCUCAGCCUCCUUGGCUACCCACCCCUAGGGUACUUUCCUUCCCUUAUGUUUUUCAAAUUCAGCUGCCUCUCUACUUCUCAGUUCCUGUGCCACCCUGACCAGAUGCUCAUGAACAGAUCUUACUCAGGAGCUUACCCAUGAACAGCACAGAAGAGUCUCACAUUUCUUUCCUUCUCUUGCUCCCCUGUGGUCUCCAUAAGUGGAAGGAUGCAGCAUAAGGAUUUAUUUCCCCAUUCAUAUGCAUCAUACCACCCUCUUCCCAUUUUAGAAGGCAAAAGAGGCACAGUAAUUUUGCUUUGGUUUUAAUACACUUACUGCCCUUAGGAAUAAUCUCAGUGUCCCCAGAUCAGGAAUGAAAUAAACUAUGGCAGUGGAACCCAGUGGAGAGGUUAAGGUGAUGCUGCAGAACAGGUUUCAACACGGGAGAAUUCAGGAUCCACGGUUAAGUGGAAAAUGAAAAUACAUAACAAUAUAUAUAUACUACCAGUUCAUUAAAAUAUGUCUGUUUACCUGUAUGUUUGCAGGAAAAAAAGAUGGGAAAAUGGCACCGGUUAUAUCUAGCGCAGCUGUUCUCAGGGGGAGGGAUUUUGCCACUAGGGGGCAUGUGACAAUGUCUGGUAACAUUUUUGAUUGUUUAGUGGGGUUGCAAAGUCUUCCAGUGGGUAGAAGCCAGGGAUGCCGCUCAACAUGCUGCAGAGCCCAGGAGAGCCCUCACAACAAAGUGUUAUCCAGUGCAAAAUGUCUGUGGUGCAGAGGCUGAGAAACCUUCCUCUACAUCAUAAGCGUAUGGAGUACUAAAACUCUUUUUUUUUUUUUGCUUGUUUGUAUUUUCUGUUUUCUACAAUGAGCAUAUAGUUCAUGUGUUGUUGUUGUUGCUGUUGUUUUUGAAGAUAUUAAGUGAAUGCUUCUGAAAAACAUCUGGGUCAAAUGCCUGUAUUUUUCCUAUGAGAUAACUUCUGUGAAAGCACUUAGUCUGGUGCCUCAGGUCUCCUCACCACUGCGGUGACUUUCCGUAAACCCACACCUUUAAAUUGAGACCAAGGGGCUGGAGACCUGAUACUGCAGAAGUAGCAGAUGACUCUGUGCCCAGCUGUGCUCUGGUUAUUCUCCCUAUGACGGCCCCAGCCUCUGGACAGAGUCAUCCCACAGCCCACCCAAGGAACUUGCUGUCCACUGAAACUGUCACCGAUAUGGUGCCAAGGCAAAUUGUCAGAACCAGAGGUGGUGCAGGGAGCCUGUCCACACCGCAGGCAGGACGCCUGUGCGCACCCGGAGUUGCUGACUGCUCAUCUUCCCAUCGUGGCCAUGUCUUGGAACGUGGUUGCCUUGGAGAACCUUUGCAAAGGAACAGUUCUUGUGGUAAUCAAAGUGUGUUCAAUUGGAAGUUUAAUUAUUUGAAGAAGUAGUUUAUUGCCCCACAGACUCCUCUGCUGUGAACACUGGACCUAAUUUUAGUAGCUGGAAUAGUGAUGAUUUAGCAGAGUCUCUGCAUUUGAUGGCUGUGGUUUCUGGGCCACCAACUGCAGUUGAAAAGAAAAAGGCAAUCCUAUCUGCCAUGCAGUGAGUCCUUCUUCCUCGUUUCCAGGGAGCUGAAAUGACUUGUAGGGGCUGGCUUUCCAUUUAGCCCUAAAACUAGUGGAAACUCAGGCAUUACAGAAAUGACACCCUGGAAAGAAACCACCUAAAUCAUUGACAAUGGAUCUCAGAGAGGGGAGAUUUUCCCCUUUGGCCAGGGAUAGCGGGCUUUCUCAGGAAUGUAGCAUGGGACAGUCCAUCCCUUCUGCCACCGGACUGGCUGGGGGAGAAGGGAAGCUGAGGCUGCUGACUGUCCAGAACCAAGUCUAAAGGUGAAGACUAAUAGGGACCAGAGCCAGAAGGAGUUGGGUGAGGCAGGAGGUGACGUUUUCCAAGAUUCUGGAAGGAGAGAAGGAGUAGAGGAAAUAUGGGGACUCCAUUUGGUCUGGAAGGCUUGGAUUAGACAGUCAGAGGAAAAAGACUUCUCCAAUCUUCCAAAGGUACAUAUAAUGGGUGUCCUUCCUCUGUUUUCUCUUUGGAGAC
Long non-coding RNA from Manis pentadactyla (Chinese pangolin), 11652 nucleotides. RefSeq lists it as uncharacterized. The transcript has 5 exons. NCBI's taxonomy places the organism in Eukaryota, Metazoa, Chordata, Mammalia, Pholidota, Manidae. The record is from RefSeq and is a predicted model, not a curated record.